AUGUAAAUUUUUGUAUGAGGUUUUAUUUAUUUUAAUAAUAAAUAUUUUUUUUUUAGUCGCAGUAAUUAAUAUUAUUAAUUAAAGAAAUUUAGAUAUAGUAAUAUUAUUUAGUAUUGGCAAAAUUUGUGCCAGCAGUCGCGGUUAUACAAAUAAUACAAAUAAAUUUUUUUCAGUGAGAGUUAAAUUUUUAGUAUAAAUAUAAAUAAAUUUUUAAGGUGAAUUUAAAAUUUAAAAUUUUUAUUUUUUUUUUAUUGAAGCUCGAAAAUUUUAUUAAUAAACUAGGAUUAGAUACCCUAUUAUUUAAAAUGUAUAAUUUUGCUAGAGUAGUAGUAGUUAUGUUCUUGAAACUAAAAAAAUUUGGCGGUAUUUUAGUCUAUUCAGAGGAAUCUGUUCUGUAAUCGAUAAUCCACGAUGGACCUUUCUUAAGUUUGUUUUUCAGUUUAUAUACCGUCGUUAUCAGAAUAUUUUAUAAAAAUAAUAAUUUUCAGUAAUUUUUAUAAAAAUUUAUAUCAGAUCAAGGUGUAGCUUAUAUUUAAGUAGAAAUGGAUUACAAUAAAAUUAUUUAAAUGGAUAUAAUAAUGAAAAAGUUGUUGAAAGUGGAUUUGAUAGUAAAUUUAUAAAGAUUAAUAAUUUGAUUUUAGCUCUAAAAUAUGCACACAUCGCCCGUCGCUCUUAUUUUUAAGGUAAGAUAAGUCGUAACAUAGUAGAUGUA
This 712-nucleotide ribosomal RNA is filed under the name Toxonevra superba. RNAcentral's name for it is "partial 12S ribosomal RNA". Lineage: Eukaryota; Metazoa; Arthropoda; Insecta; Diptera; Pallopteridae. The record is from RNAcentral.